UGGGGAAUUUUCCGCAAUGGGCGAAAGCCUGACGGAGCAAUACCGCGUGAGGGAGGAAGGCUCUUGGGUUGUAAACCUCUUUUCUCAGGGAAGAAAAAAAUGACGGUACCUGAGGAAUAAGCAUCGGCUAACUCCGUGCCAGCAGCCGCGGUAAUACGGAGGAUGCAAGCGUUAUCCGGAAUGAUUGGGCGUAAAGCGUCCGCAGGUGGCGAUGAAAGUCUGCUGUUAAAGAGUGAGGCUCAACCUCAUAAAAGCAGUGGAAACUACAUAGCUAGAGUACGUUCGGGGCAGAGGGAAUUCCUGGUGUAGCGGUGAAAUGCGUAGAGAUCAGGAAGAACACCGGUGGCGAAAGCGCUCUGCUAGGCCUGUACUGAC
This 375-nucleotide ribosomal RNA is filed under the name Aulosira laxa K58. Its description in RNAcentral is "bacterial SSU rRNA". It matches the Rfam family "Bacterial small subunit ribosomal RNA", at positions 355 to 744 of the family's 1533-position model. The record is from RNAcentral. Lineage: Bacteria; Bacillati; Cyanobacteriota; Cyanophyceae; Nostocales; Fortieaceae.